AUUGAACGCUGGCGGCAUGCCUUACACAUGCAAGUCGAACGGUAACGGGCCUUCGGGUGCCGACGAGUGGCGAACGGGUGAGUAAUACAUCGGAACGUGCACGAUCGUGGGGGAUAACGAGGCGAAAGCUUUGCUAAUACCGCAUACGAUCUACGGAUGAAAGCAGGGGACCGCAAGGCCUUGCGCGGACGGAGCGGCCGAUGGCAGAUUAGGUAGUUGGUGGGAUAAAAGCUUACCAAGCCGACGAUCUGUAGCUGGUCUGAGAGGAUGAUCAGCCACACUGGGACUGAGACACGGCCCAGACUCCUACGGGAGGCAGCAGUGGGGAAUUUUGGACAAUGGGCGCAAGCCUGAUCCAGCCAUGCCGCGUGCAGGAUGAAGGCCUUCGGGUUGUAAACUGCUUUUGUACGGAAUGAAAGGCCUUCUUUUAAUACAGGAGGGUCAUGACGGUACCGUAAGAAUAAGCACCGGCUAACUACGUG
RNAcentral lists this ribosomal RNA (482 nucleotides) under uncultured bacterium. Its description in RNAcentral is "partial 16S ribosomal RNA". It matches the Rfam family "Bacterial small subunit ribosomal RNA", at positions 30 to 507 of the family's 1533-position model. The record is from RNAcentral.